GACAGAGGGUGCAAACGUUGUUCGGAAUUACUGGGCGUAAAGCGUGUGUAGGCGGUCCACUAAGUCGGGUGUGAAAGCCCUGGGCUCAACCCAGGAAGUGCACUCGAAACUGGCGGGCUAGAGUAUCGGAGAGGUUGGUGGAAUUCUCGGUGUAGAGGUGAAAUUCGUAGAUAUCGAGAGGAACACCGGUGGCGAAGGCGGCCAACUGGACGAAUACUGGCGCUGAGACACGAAAGCGUGGGGAGCAAACAGG
This 253-nucleotide ribosomal RNA is filed under the name uncultured bacterium. RNAcentral's name for it is "partial 16S ribosomal RNA". It matches the Rfam family "Bacterial small subunit ribosomal RNA", at positions 524 to 776 of the family's 1533-position model. The record is from RNAcentral.